UACGAAGGUGGCAAGCGUUGUUCGGAUUUACUGGGCGUACAGGGAGCGUAGGCGGUUGGGUAAGCCCUUCGUGAAAUCUCCGGGCCUAACCCGGAAAGUGCGGAGGGGACUGCUCGGCUAGAGGAUGGGAGAGGAGCGCGGAAUUCCCGGUGUAGCGGUGAAAUGCGUAGAGAUCGGGAGGAAGGCCGGUGGCGAAGGCGGCGCUCUGGAACAUUUCUGACGCUGAGGCUCGAAAGCGUGGGGAGCGAACGGG
This 253-nucleotide ribosomal RNA is filed under the name uncultured prokaryote. RNAcentral describes it as "partial 16S ribosomal RNA". It matches the Rfam family "Bacterial small subunit ribosomal RNA", at positions 524 to 776 of the family's 1533-position model. The record is from RNAcentral.